RNAcentral lists this ribosomal RNA (841 nucleotides) under Crinipellis campanella. RNAcentral's name for it is "eukaryotic LSU rRNA". It matches the Rfam family "Eukaryotic large subunit ribosomal RNA", at positions 65 to 900 of the family's 3401-position model. The record is from RNAcentral. Lineage: Eukaryota; Fungi; Basidiomycota; Agaricomycetes; Agaricales; Marasmiaceae.
CUAACCAGGAUUCCCCUAGUAACUGCGAGUGAAGAGGGAAAAGCUCAAAUUUAAAAUCUGGCAGUCAUUGGCUGUCCGAGUUGUAAUUUAGAGAAGUGUUACCCGUGCUGGACCGUGUACAAGUCUCCUGGAAUGGACGUCAUAGAGGGUGAGAAUCCCGUCUUUGACACGGACUACCAGUGCAUUGUGGUGCGCUCUCAAAGAGUCGAGUUGUUUGGGAAUGCAGCUCUAAAUGGGUGGUAAAUUCCAUCUAAAGCUAAAUAUUGGCGAGAGACCGAUAGCGAACAAGUACCGUGAGGGAAAGAUGAAAAGAACUUUGGAAAGAGAGUUAAACAGUACGUGAAAUUGCUGAAAGGGAAACGCUUGAAGUCAGUCGCGUUGGCCAGGGAUCAACCUUGCUUUAGUGGGGUGUACUUCCUGGUUGACGGGUCAGCAUCAGUUUUGACUGCUGGAAAAGGCUUGGGAAUGUGGCAUCUCCGGAUGUGUUAUAGCCCCUUGUUGUAUACAGUGGUUGGGACUGAGGAACUCAGCACGUUGCGGCCGGGAUUCGUCCACGUUCGUGCUUAGGAUGCUGGCAUAAUGGCUUUAAGCGACCCGUCUUGAAACACGGACCAAGGAGUCUAACAUGCUUGCGAGUGUUUGGGUGGAAAACCCGAGCGCGCAAUGAAAGUGAAAGUUGGGAUCUCUGUCGUGGAGAGCACCGACGCCGGACCUGAUGUUUACUGACGGAUCUGCGGUAGAGCACGUAUGUUGGGACCCGAAAGAUGGUGAACUAUGCCUGAUAGGGUGAAGCCAGAGGAAACUCUGGUGGAGGCUCGUAGCGAUUCUGACGUGCAAAUCG